AAAAAAAAAAAAAAAAAUCAUCAGUCCAACUCUGCAAUAAUUAGUAAUUAAUGGCUCAAAUUCAUAAGCUUCAAGGUGAACUUGAAGUGAAGUGUCAUGCUGAUAAGUUAUACACCACGAUAACUCGUGAUGCGUCUAGUCUCCCAAAAUAUCUUCCUCAAAUCAUCCACAAGUGCCAAGUUUUCCCCGAAGAUGGUGAAAUUCGUGUGGGUAGUAUUUUUGUCCGGGACUAUUUUUGUCCGGGACUAUGUGAUCGAGGGGAAAGCUUCUACUGUCACGACGAAAGAGAAGAUAUUCUAUAAUGUCUAAAAAUACUAGACAUGCAUUCAAAUAAAGUUAUAACGUGGAUUCACCACACACUUAUCUAAUCUAAUUAAGGACACAAAGGGUAAGGAGGUGUGCAGAGCUCAGACUCUCACUGACGUGGAGGUGAUGAGCAUCAAAGAAGGAAUUCAAUGGUCAAAUCAGCUUGCCAACAACGCCACUCACAUAAAAAGGAACCUCGCAGUAGAGUCAUCAUGCCAUCAAGGGAGCAAUAACAUUUUCAAAUCUGCAAAUCAGACAGCUUUUGCAUUGGUUUCAAACUUCAAAGCAACAUAGUUUUGAUGGUUAUUUUUCUAGUUUAAUUUUUAGUUUUCUUGCGGACAGAGUGAUAACUCAAAUGUGCGAGGAGUACAUGUGGUACAUGAGGGUAUUUUUGUCUGAAUCGGAAAAAUAUAUCGAGUUGGUCCUAGUUAACGAGUCGACAACGAUUUUUACGCUCCUCAAAUCACAUUUUGCUCUCCCUUUAACAAAAAUUUUAUUUAUUUACUUAUAUUUUGGUAAUCUAAAUUUUAUAUAUAAGUGGUAUUACCCGUAUUAAAUCUAAAUUAAAUCUAAAAACAUUUAUUCGUUUUCCUUUAUUCAUUAGAUCAAUGUUUUUGUACGUGUGCGGGGAAAAUAUGUGGU
Molecule: long non-coding RNA, 948 nt
Organism: Papaver somniferum (opium poppy)
Lineage: Eukaryota; Viridiplantae; Streptophyta; Magnoliopsida; Ranunculales; Papaveraceae
Exons: 3
Source: RefSeq, a predicted model, not a curated record